UACAGAGGGUGCAAGCGUUAAUCGGAAUUACUGGGCGUAAAGCGUGCGUAGACGGUUAUGUAAGUCAGGUGUGAAAGCCCCGGGCUCAACCUGGGAAUGGCAUUUGAGACUGCAUAGCUAGGGUGCGGAAGAGGGAAGCGGAAUUUCCGGUGUAGCGGUGAAAUGCGUAGAUAUUGGGAAGAACACCGGUGGCGAAGGCGGCUCUCUGGACCGAGACUGACGCUGAGGCGCGAAAGCGUGGGGAGCAAACAGG
RNAcentral lists this ribosomal RNA (253 nucleotides) under uncultured bacterium. RNAcentral describes it as "partial 16S ribosomal RNA". It matches the Rfam family "Bacterial small subunit ribosomal RNA", at positions 524 to 776 of the family's 1533-position model. The record is from RNAcentral.